GUGCAGCAGUCGCGAAACCUCCGCAAUACACGAAAGUGUGACGGGGCCAUCCCGAGUGCCGUCCGCUGAGGACGGCUUUUCCCCAGUGUACACAGCUGGGGGAAUAAGGAGAGGGCAAGCCUGGUGUCAGCCGCCGCGGUAAUACCAGCUCUCCGAGUGGUGGGGACGCUUAUUGGGCCUAAAGCAUCCGUAGCCGGCUGGGCAAGUCCUCCGUUAAAUCCAACGAUUCAAUCGUUGGGCUGCGGGGGAUACUGUCCAGCCUGGGGGCGGGAGAGGCCGACGAUAUUCCCGGGGUAGGGGUGAAAUCCUAUAAUCCCGGGAGGACCACCAGUGGCGAAGGCUGUCGGCUAGAACGCGCCCGACGGUGAGGGAUGAAAGCUGGGGGAGCGAACCGGAUUAGAUACCCG
RNAcentral lists this ribosomal RNA (407 nucleotides) under uncultured microorganism. RNAcentral's name for it is "bacterial SSU rRNA". It matches the Rfam family "Archaeal small subunit ribosomal RNA", at positions 330 to 739 of the family's 1478-position model. The record is from RNAcentral.